AGAGUUUGAUCCUGGCUCAGGAUGAACGCUGGCGGCGUGCCUAACACAUGCAAGUCGAACGAAGCUUGACGGAUGAUUUCUUCGGAAUGAAACCAGAUAUGACUUAGUGGCGGACGGGUGAGUAACACGUGAGCAACCUGCCUUUCAGAGGGGGAUAACGGCUGGAAACGGUCGCUAAUACCGCAUGAUGUGUUCGGAUGGCAUCAUCUGAACAUCAAAGAUUUAUCGCUGAAAGAUGGGCUCGCGUCUGAUUAGAUAGUUGGUGGGGUAACGGCCUACCAAGUCGACGAUCAGUAGCCGGACUGAGAGGUUGAACGGCCACAUUGGGACUGAGAUACGGCCCAGACUCCUACGGGAGGCAGCAGUGGGGAAUAUUGCACAAUGGGGGAAACCCUGAUGCAGCAACGCCGCGUGAAGGAUGACGGUUUUCGGAUUGUAAACUUCUUUUCUUAGUGAUGAAGACAGUGACGGUAGCUAAGGAAUAAGCAUCGGCUAACUACGUGCCAGCAGCCGCGGUAAUACGUAGGAUGCAAGCGUUAUCCGGAUUUACUGGGUGUAAAGGGAGCGCAGGCGGGACUGCAAGUUGGAUGUGAAAUACCGUGGCUUAACCACGGAACUGCAUCCAAAACUGUAGUUCUUGAGUGAAGUAGAGGCAAGCGGAAUUCCGAGUGUAGCGGUGAAAUGCGUAGAUAUUCGGAGGAACACCAGUGGCGAAGGCGGCUUGCUGGGCUUUAACUGACGCUGAGGCUCGAAAGUGUGGGGAGCAAACAGGAUUAGAUACCCUGGUAGUCCACACUGUAAACGAUGAUAGCUAGGUGUGGGGGGUCUGACCCCUUCCGUGCCGGAGUUAACGCAAUAAGCUAUCCACCUGGGGAGUACGACCGCAAGGUUGAAACUCAAAGGAAUUGACGGG
RNAcentral lists this ribosomal RNA (913 nucleotides) under gut metagenome. RNAcentral describes it as "bacterial SSU rRNA". It matches the Rfam family "Bacterial small subunit ribosomal RNA", at positions 8 to 917 of the family's 1533-position model. The record is from RNAcentral.